Molecule: ribosomal RNA, 424 nt
Filed under: Potamonautes sidneyi
Lineage: Eukaryota; Metazoa; Arthropoda; Malacostraca; Decapoda; Potamonautidae
Description: partial 16S ribosomal RNA
Rfam family: Bacterial large subunit ribosomal RNA (bases 300-424)
Source: RNAcentral
UUUUUAAUUGAGAUCUUGUAUGAAUGAUUGGACAAGAGAAAUACUGUCUUUGUAUUAAAACUUGAAUUUAACUUUUAAGUGAAAAGGCUUAAAUACACUAAAGGGACGAUAAGACCCUAUAAAACUUUACAUUUAUGUUAAAUUUUAUGGAAUUUGAAGAUUAUAAUUAUUAAAUUAAUUUUUUGUUAUGUUGGGGAGACAAAAGCUAUAAUUAUAUAUAACUGCUUUUAAGGGAAACAAAAAUAAGUGAGGAAGAUUAGAGAUCCUUUAUUGAGAUUAUAAGAUUAAGUUACUUUAGGGAUAACAGCGUUAUUUUUUUUGAGAGUUCAUAUUGAAAAAAAAGAUUGCGACCUCGAUGUUGAAUUAAAAUAUCUUUAUAAUGCAGGUGUUAUAAAAGAAGGUCUGUUCGACCUUUAAUUUUUUA